This 439-nucleotide ribosomal RNA is filed under the name uncultured bacterium. RNAcentral describes it as "partial 16S ribosomal RNA". It matches the Rfam family "Bacterial small subunit ribosomal RNA", at positions 338 to 795 of the family's 1533-position model. The record is from RNAcentral.
CCUACGGGAGGCUGCAGUGGGGGAUAUUGCUCAAUGGGGGAAACCCUGAUGCAGCAACGCCGCGUGAGUGAAGAAGUAUUUCGGUAUGUAAAGCUCUAUCAGCAGGGAAGAGAAUGACGGUACCUGACUAGGAAGCCACGGCUAACUACGGGCCAGCAGCCGCGGUAAUACGUCGGGGGCGAGCGGUAUCCGGAUUUACUGGGUUUAAAGGGUGCGUAGGCGGAAUGCCAAGUCAGCGGGAAAAUCGCGGGGCUCAACCUCGCUCCGCCGUUGAAACUGGCGUUCUUGAGUGGGCGAGAAGUAUGCGGAAUGCGUGGUGUAGCGGUGAAAUGCAUAGAUAUCACGCAGAACUCCGAUUGCGAAGGCAGCAUACCGGCGCCCAACUGACGCUGAAGCACGAAAGCGUGGGUAUCGAACAGGAUUAGAUACCCGUGUAGUC